ACGUAGGGGGCUAGCGUUAUCCGGAAUUACUGGGCGUAAAGGGUGCGUAGGUGGUUUCUUAAGUCAGAGGUGAAAGGCUACGGCUCAACCGUAGUAAGCCUUUGAAACUGGGAAACUUGAGUGCAGGAGAGGAGAGUGGAAUUCCUAGUGUAGCGGUGAAAUGCGUAGAGAUUAGGAGGAGCACGAGUUGCGAAGGGGGCUGUCUGGGGUGUAGCGGGUACUGAGGCACGGAGGGGUGGGGGGGGGAGGG
Molecule: ribosomal RNA, 250 nt
Filed under: uncultured prokaryote
Description: partial 16S rRNA
Rfam family: Bacterial small subunit ribosomal RNA
Source: RNAcentral